RNAcentral lists this ribosomal RNA (519 nucleotides) under uncultured bacterium. Its description in RNAcentral is "partial 16S ribosomal RNA". It matches the Rfam family "Bacterial small subunit ribosomal RNA", at positions 28 to 507 of the family's 1533-position model. The record is from RNAcentral.
GACGAACGCUGGCGGCGUGCCUAAUACAUGCAAGUCGAGCGAGUCUGCCUUGAAGAUCGGAGUGCUUGCACUCUGUGAAACAAGAUACAGGCUAGCGGCGGACGGGUGAGUAACACGUGGGUAACCUGCCCAAGAGAUCGGGCUAACACCUGGAAACAGAUGCUAAUACCGGAUAACAACAGAUGAUGCCUAUCAACUGUUUAAAAGGUGGUUCUGCUAUCACUCUUGGAUGGACCUGCGGUGCAUUAGCUAGUUGGUAGGGUAACGGCCUACCAAGGCGAUGAUGCAUAGCCGAGUUGAGAGACUGAUCGGCCACAUUGGGACUGAGACACGGCCCAAACUCCUACGGGAGGCAGCAGUAGGGAAUCUUCCACAAUGGGCGCAAGUCUGAUGGAGCAACGCCGCGUGAGUGAAGAAGGGUUUCGGCUCGUAAAGCUCUGUUGUUGGGGAAGAAGGACAGGGGUAGUAACUGACCUUUGUUUGACGGUAAUCAAUUAGAAAGUCACGGCUAACUACGUG